UGAGGAAUAUUGGUCAAUGGGCGAGAGCCUGAACCAGCCAAGUCGCGUGAGGGAAGACGGCCCUACGGGUUGUAAACCUCUUUUGUCAGGGAGCAAGAACGGAUACGUGUAUCCGAGCGAGAGUACCUGAAGAAAAAGCAUCGGCUAACUCCGUGCCAGCAGCCGCGGUAAUACGGAGGAUGCGAGCGUUAUCCGGAUUUAUUGGGUUUAAAGGGUGCGUAGGCGGGCUGCCAAGUCAGCGGUAAAAUUGCGGGGCUCAACCCCGUCGAGCCGUUGAAACUGGCGGUCUUGAGUGGGCGAGAAGUAUGCGGAAUGCGUGGUGUAGCGGUGAAAUGCAUAGAUAUCACGCAGAACUCCGAUUGCGAAGGCAGCAUACCGGCGCCCGACUGACGCUGAAGCACGAAAGCGUGGGUAUCGAACAGG
This 423-nucleotide ribosomal RNA is filed under the name uncultured bacterium. RNAcentral describes it as "bacterial SSU rRNA". It matches the Rfam family "Bacterial small subunit ribosomal RNA", at positions 355 to 776 of the family's 1533-position model. The record is from RNAcentral.